RNAcentral lists this ribosomal RNA (507 nucleotides) under Theileria uilenbergi. Its description in RNAcentral is "SSU rRNA". It matches the Rfam family "Eukaryotic small subunit ribosomal RNA", at positions 459 to 1005 of the family's 1831-position model. Lineage: Eukaryota; Apicomplexa; Aconoidasida; Piroplasmida; Theileriidae. The record is from RNAcentral.
UUGAGGUAGUGACAAGAAAUAACAAUACGGGGCUUAACGUCUUGUAAUUGGAAUGAUGGGAAUCUAAACCUCUUCCAGAGUAUCAAUUGGAGGGCAAGUCUGGUGCCAGCAGCCGCGGUAAUUCCAGCUCCAAUAGCGUAUAUUAAAAUUGUUGCAGUUAAAAAGCUCGUAGUUGAAUUUCUGCCGCCCCGCCUCUGCCCCUCGACGGGCGUUUGCGCCGCGGCUUUUUCGGAUUAUGCUUGCAUUUUCCGAGUGUUACUUUGAGAAAAUUAGAGUGCUCAAAGCAGGCUUUUGCCUUGAAUAGUUUAGCAUGGAAUAAUAGAGUAGGACUUUGGUUCUAUUUUGUUGGUUUUAGGUACCAAAGUAAUGGUUAAUAGGAACAGUUGGGGGCAUUCGUAUUUAACUGUCAGAGGUGAAAUUCUUAGAUUUGUUAAAGACGAACUACUGCGAAAGCAUUUGCCAAGGAUGUUUUCAUUAAUCAAGAACGAAAGUUAGGGGAUCGAAGAA